CGGAGUGUAGCGCAGUCUGGUAGCGCACCUCGUUCGGGACGAGGGGGUCGCAGGUUCGAAUCCUGCCACUCCGACCA
Molecule: transfer RNA, 77 nt
Filed under: Methylobacterium sp.
Lineage: Bacteria; Pseudomonadati; Pseudomonadota; Alphaproteobacteria; Hyphomicrobiales; Methylobacteriaceae
Also listed under: 24 other names
Description: tRNA-Pro
Rfam family: tRNA
About the family: Transfer RNA (tRNA) molecules are approximately 80 nucleotides in length. Their secondary structure includes four short double-helical elements and three loops (D, anti-codon, and T loops).
Source: RNAcentral